GAGCAUGGGCAUGUAAAAUAGGUGGGUCUUAUACUGCUGUGGGAGGAUUUACAAACCAGAUGAACAGAUUGAGAGUUUUCAGUAGAUGGUCUUAUUCGAUCACACUUUUUAGUGAAGGUUUUUUUUUAAUAUUUCACAUGUUUUUGUUCUGUUUUAGCUGGUGGCACCUGCUUGGUGUGUUUGGGGCCGAAACAAAUGAAAUAAAGUCAGUGUCAGUGAUGGAGGGAGAUUCUGUCCUACUACACAAUGAUGUUGCUGAAAUAUGUGAAAACGACCACAUACAGUGGAAUAUUAGAAAUGAAAUGUCACUCAUGGCUAGAAUUACCAAUAAGAAGCAAAUUCUCCCCACAUCUGAUGUUCUUGAUGGGGGAUUCAGAGAGAGACUGAAGCUGGACAGACAAACUGGAUCUCUGACCAUCACAAACAUCACAACUCAACAUGCUGGACUCUAUGAAGUAAAGAUAAUUGGAAAAACACCAUUAUCAAAAACAUUCAAUGUUUCUGUCUAUGCUCAGCUGUCUGUUCCUGUCAUCAGCAGUAACUCUUCACAAUGUUCUUCUUCAUC
This is a long non-coding RNA of Cyprinus carpio (common carp), 565 nucleotides long. RefSeq lists it as uncharacterized. The transcript has 3 exons. Lineage: Eukaryota; Metazoa; Chordata; Actinopteri; Cypriniformes; Cyprinidae. The record is from RefSeq and is a predicted model, not a curated record.